Molecule: transfer RNA, 73 nt
Filed under: Ailuropoda melanoleuca (giant panda)
Lineage: Eukaryota; Metazoa; Chordata; Mammalia; Carnivora; Ursidae
Rfam family: tRNA
About the family: Transfer RNA (tRNA) molecules are approximately 80 nucleotides in length. Their secondary structure includes four short double-helical elements and three loops (D, anti-codon, and T loops).
Source: Rfam by way of RNAcentral
GCCUGGCUGGCUCAGUUGGUAGAGCGUAGGACUCUUGAUCUAGAUAUUGUGAGUUCGAGCCCCACAUUGGGUG